AGUUCAAAUUGGGGCUUUUUUCUAAAUUCUGCAAUUUCUCUAUGUGUGUGGUCCAGAGAGUGAGGACUCGCAUGUAGAAAUAGAUUAACAAGAAGAGUGGUCAAUGUGGUCGGAGUACAGAGGAAUCAGGAAUGAGCCCACAAGACCAAACUUUCCAUUUGCUUCCUUUUUUAAGGUAGCAUCUGCUUGGACUCGGGUUUCAUAAGCAGCUUUCUGGACCAGCAGGAAAUGCUCAGGCACAAAUCGAGGUCAAGCCUUUUACAAACACGUGACGCCGACUCCAGUAAGUAAGUA
Molecule: long non-coding RNA, 294 nt
Organism: Gasterosteus aculeatus aculeatus (three-spined stickleback)
Lineage: Eukaryota; Metazoa; Chordata; Actinopteri; Perciformes; Gasterosteidae
Source: Ensembl